Molecule: transfer RNA, 64 nt
Filed under: Vagococcus fluvialis
Lineage: Bacteria; Bacillati; Bacillota; Bacilli; Lactobacillales; Enterococcaceae
Rfam family: tRNA
About the family: Transfer RNA (tRNA) molecules are approximately 80 nucleotides in length. Their secondary structure includes four short double-helical elements and three loops (D, anti-codon, and T loops).
Source: RNAcentral
UGUUAGCUCAGUUGGCAGAGCAAUGGACUCUUAAUCCAUGGGUCGUGGGUUCGAGCCCCACACA